This 27-nucleotide non-coding RNA is filed under the name Homo sapiens (human). Lineage: Eukaryota; Metazoa; Chordata; Mammalia; Primates; Hominidae. The record is from RNAcentral.
CUGAGGUUCAUGCUGAGGCAGAUUCUC